RNAcentral lists this unclassified non-coding RNA (814 nucleotides) under Hevea brasiliensis (rubber tree). Lineage: Eukaryota; Viridiplantae; Streptophyta; Magnoliopsida; Malpighiales; Euphorbiaceae. The record is from RNAcentral.
CUUAAAACUCUCCUCCUUGUCGAGCUUGCGACUUGCCGCCGCAACUCGGCUUCUUCCUACAUCGCACCUCUGCUUCAGCUUUCAGAUUUUCAUUCUGGGUGGCCAGGGAGAGAAGAGAAUAGUAAUGGCGGAAGGGGAGACAAAGGCGAUGGCUUAUAUACCGGAGGUUAUUUUGAAGAAAAGAAAACACAAGGAAGAAUCACUAGCACUUACAAGGAAAACCCAGUUGGAGUUUGGCAAAUAUGGAGGGAAGAAGAGGAAGGUGGAGGAUAUCAAAAGGCCUGAGCAGUUUAUUAAGGAGUUCAGAGACAAGGAAUUGGACCUAAUCCGAAUGAAACAGAGGACAAAGAGGCCAAAAUCAGCUUCACUCACGCCAAAGUCAAAGCUUCUAUUCAUCAUUCGCAUACAAGGCAAAAAUGAUAUGCACCCAAAAACAAGGAAGAUUUUGUACAACCUGAAACUAAGGAGGAUUUUUCAUGGUGUUUUCAUGAAGGCAACUGCUGGCGUAUUGGAAAUGCUACAAAGGGUGGAGCCCUAUGUUACCUUUGGAUAUCCAAAUCCUAAGAAUGUUAGUGAGCUAAUUUUCAAGAAGGGUUAUGGAAUGCUGAACAAGCAGAGAGUUCCUCUUAUUGAUAACACCAUUAUUGAACAGGCAUUAGGGAAACACGGCAUCCUUUGUUUAGAAGAUAUCGUACAUGAAAUUGCUAAUGUUGGUCCACAUUUUAAGGAGAUAACAAAUUUUUUGGGGCCUUUUGCACUCAGCAAGCCGAAGGGAGGAUUGCAGGGCAAGAGGGCAUCUUACAAGGACGGAGGA